CUUAUUCCGCGUGGCUCUGUUUCCUUGCUCCACGAAGAGAGAGAACAAUCCAGAGAGAAAUCAAGAACGAUCGAGACUUCGAGUGAGAGAGAGAAAAGGGUUGGAUUUUGAUCACCGGAGGAUAUUUAUCAAGCAGCGAAGAGUAUUCUUUAUCAGAGUUUGCUUCUCAAUUAGUCUCUCUCAGUUUUGGUGUGUGAUCGCUGGAGACCGAAAGAGAGGGGAGAGUGCAUGUGCAUGGUUUAGGAAGAGCGAGUAGAAAGAAAGACACCGACACUCCCACUCCCACUCCCAUUUCCAAGACGCUGAAAAGGAUGAAGGGUCGCCUGAAAGAGAUGAGUGAGUGGUGCAGGCAGCUGAUGCGUGAAGAAGAUUUGGAACAAGAUGAAGAACUUGAAAUUGGAGUUACUCAAGAUAUUCCUGACAUUGAUGCCACUCAAGAUAUUUCCAAUGGUACUUCUACUGAGUUAUCAGUUGCUUCUUUCCGGCACAAGUUGAAGUCCAAAGCCUGCUACAUGAACAUUGAGUGAGCACUGGCUCAAGAGUGUCCAUCCUUGAUCUUAACAAGAGUACCAACCCAGUAACUGCCUCAUUUCAGUUUUGGCCUUGGAGAGGAUUAUAAUUACUUAAGGAGAUCAAUCAGAGAAUUUUUGACAGAUCAGGUCGCAUAUUUGUGAUAGACACAAAAACAGAUCCAAAAGCUCCCUUUCUGCAUAAAGUUGUUGACCCUGAAGACAUCGUACAGAAGACUGGAUUGGCAUACCCACACACAUCUCACUGCCUUGCAUCUGGUGAUUUCUUCUCCGUGACUCAGAGUUUAAUGUCAAGGGAAGAUGGGACAAACCAGGGCACACUUCACUUUUUGGUUAUGAUUUCUGGUACCAACGGCGGCACAAGACAAUGAUAAGCACAUCAUGGGUGCCCCGCUGCUUUCACCAAAGGUUUCAACCUUCAGCAUGUCUCUGAUGGUCUCUAUGGGAGGCAUCUUCAUGUCUACAGUUGGCCUGAGGUGGAAUUAUGGAUAUUUUACAAGCAGACCAGCCCUCAAUCACUGUUAGAAUGAUUAGCAGCUAAUAUAUGUGAGCAUGCAGGAAAUAUAGUGCAGAGGUAUGAAAAUCCGAAGAAUAUAGAUCGAUCAAUGAGAGUAAAGCUAUGUUGUUAGAGAAAAUACUUUUCAUUGUUUUGUAACAAAUACAUGAAAAUUUAGUAUGUCACUGAUCAUAAUAAUGGUUUGUAUGGAAUCUUUUUCUAACUUCAGUUGAAUUGAUUAUG
Molecule: long non-coding RNA, 1269 nt
Organism: Rosa rugosa (rugosa rose)
Lineage: Eukaryota; Viridiplantae; Streptophyta; Magnoliopsida; Rosales; Rosaceae
Exons: 10
Source: RefSeq, a predicted model, not a curated record